GACAGAGGGUGCAAACGUUGUUCGGAAUUACUGGGCGUAAAGCGAGUGUAGGCGGUUUGGUAAGUCGGGUGUGAAAGCCCCGGGCUCAACCCGGGAAGUGCACUCGAUACUGCCAAGCUAGAGUAUCGGAGAGGUUGGUGGAAUUCUCGGUGUAGAGGUGAAAUUCGUAGAUAUCGAGAGGAACACCGGUGGCGAAGGCGGCCAACUGGACGAAUACUGACGCUGAGACUCGAAAGCGUGGGGAGCAAACAGG
RNAcentral lists this ribosomal RNA (253 nucleotides) under uncultured bacterium. RNAcentral's name for it is "partial 16S ribosomal RNA". It matches the Rfam family "Bacterial small subunit ribosomal RNA", at positions 524 to 776 of the family's 1533-position model. The record is from RNAcentral.